UACGUAGGGUCCGAGCGCUGUCCGGAAUUAUUGGGCGUAAAGAGCUUGUAGGCGGUCUGUCGCGUCUGCUGUGAAAAUCCGGGGCUCAACCCCGGACUUGCAGUGGGUACGGGCAGACUAGAGUGUGGUAGGGGAGACUGGAAUUCCUGGUGUAGCGGUGAAAUGCGCAGAUAUCAGGAGGAACACCGAUGGCGAAGGCAGGUCUCUGGGCCACUACUGACGCUGAGAAGGGAAAGCAUGGGGAGCGAACAGG
RNAcentral lists this ribosomal RNA (253 nucleotides) under uncultured bacterium. RNAcentral's name for it is "partial 16S ribosomal RNA". It matches the Rfam family "Bacterial small subunit ribosomal RNA", at positions 524 to 776 of the family's 1533-position model. The record is from RNAcentral.